GACGAACGCUGGCGGCGUGCUUAACACAUGCAAGUCGAACGGAAAGGCCCUGCUUUUGUGGGGUGCUCGAGUGGCGAACGGGUGAGUAACACGUGAGUAACCUGCCCUUGACUUUGGGAUAACUUCAGGAAACUGGGGCUAAUACCGGAUAGGUGCUCCUGCUGCAUGGUGGGGGUUGGAAAGUUUCGGCGGUUGGGGGUGGACGCGCGGCUUAUCAGCUUGUUGGUGGGGUAGUGGCUUACGAAGGCUUUGACGGGUAGCCGGCCUGAGAGGGUGACCGGCCAGAUUGGGACUGAGAGACGGCGCAGACUACUACGGGAGGCAGCAGUGGGGAAUAGUGCACAAUGGCGGGGAGCCGGGUGCGGCAACGCCGCGUGCGUGAUAACGGCCUUCGGGUUGUAAACCGCUUUCGCCUGUGAUGUGGCGGGGGUGACGGUAAUGGGUAAAGAAGCACCGGCUAACUACGUG
RNAcentral lists this ribosomal RNA (468 nucleotides) under uncultured bacterium. Its description in RNAcentral is "partial 16S ribosomal RNA". It matches the Rfam family "Bacterial small subunit ribosomal RNA", at positions 28 to 507 of the family's 1533-position model. The record is from RNAcentral.